This 69-nucleotide transfer RNA is filed under the name Ictidomys tridecemlineatus (thirteen-lined ground squirrel). Its description in RNAcentral is "Spermophilus tridecemlineatus (thirteen-lined ground squirrel) tRNA". It matches the Rfam family "tRNA". From Rfam's summary of the family: Transfer RNA (tRNA) molecules are approximately 80 nucleotides in length. The record is from Rfam by way of RNAcentral. Lineage: Eukaryota; Metazoa; Chordata; Mammalia; Rodentia; Sciuridae.
GGGGUUGUGGCUCAGUGGUGGAGCACUCGCCUAGCAUGGGUGAGGUCCUGGGUUCGAUUCUCAGCACCA